Molecule: ribosomal RNA, 484 nt
Filed under: uncultured bacterium
Lineage: Bacteria
Description: partial 16S ribosomal RNA
Rfam family: Bacterial small subunit ribosomal RNA
Source: RNAcentral
GACGAACGCUGGCGGCGUGCUUAACACAUGCAAGUCGAACGAUGAUGCUGGAGCUUGCUCCAGUUGAUUAGUGGCGAACGGGUGAGUAACACGUGAGCAAUCUGCCCUUGACUCUGGGAUAACUGCGGGAAACUGUAGCUAAUACCGGAUACUUUCACCGGAAGGCAUCUUCUGGUGAUGAAAGAAUUUCGGUCAGGGAUGAGCUCGCGGCCUAUCAGCUUGUUGGUGAGGUAACGGCUCACCAAGGCGACGACGGGUAACCGGCCUGAGAGGGUGACCGGUCACACUGGGACUGAGACAGGGCCCAGACUCCGACGGGAGGCAGCAGUGGGGAAUAGUGCACAAUGGGCGCAAGCCUGAUGCAGCAACGCGGCGUGAGGGAUGAGGGCCUUCGGGUUGUAAACCUCUUUUAGCAGGGAAGAAGCGAAAGUGACGGUACCUGCAGAAAAAGCACCAGCUAACUACGUGCCAGCCGCCGCCGUAA